UGGGGAAUAUUGCACAAUGGGCGCAAGCCUGAUGCAGCCAUGCCGCGUGUGUGAAGAAGGCCUUCGGGUUGUAAAGCACUUUCAGCGAGGAGGAAGGCAUUAAGGUUAAUAACCUUAGUGAUUGACGUUACUCGCAGAAGAAGCACCGGCUAACUCCGUGCCAGCAGCCGCGGUAAUACGGAGGGUGCAAGCGUUAAUCGGAAUUGACUGGGCGUAA
This 217-nucleotide ribosomal RNA is filed under the name uncultured bacterium. RNAcentral's name for it is "partial 16S ribosomal RNA". It matches the Rfam family "Bacterial small subunit ribosomal RNA", at positions 355 to 563 of the family's 1533-position model. The record is from RNAcentral.